UGGACGAAUGAUGACCACUGAUGAUGUAUGAUCCGGGGAUCAUGACUACAGGUCAGGGAGUCUGAGGUUCAC
Small nucleolar RNA from Cricetulus griseus (Chinese hamster), 72 nucleotides. Ensembl annotates it as small nucleolar RNA SNORD113/SNORD114 family. NCBI's taxonomy places the organism in Eukaryota, Metazoa, Chordata, Mammalia, Rodentia, Cricetidae. The record is from Ensembl.